Molecule: regulatory RNA element, 95 nt
Organism: Cellulomonas sp. Leaf395
Lineage: Bacteria; Bacillati; Actinomycetota; Actinomycetes; Micrococcales; Cellulomonadaceae
Rfam family: mraW RNA
Source: Rfam
GCAUCGCCGCCCGGUAAGACCUCCCCCCGAAUCUCUGACGCACUUCCCCGGUGUCAGAGGGUCGGUGGGGGAUCUGGUCGGACGGCGGAGGGGCC